This is a long non-coding RNA of Myotis davidii, 307 nucleotides long. RefSeq lists it as uncharacterized. NCBI's taxonomy places the organism in Eukaryota, Metazoa, Chordata, Mammalia, Chiroptera, Vespertilionidae. The record is from RefSeq and is a predicted model, not a curated record. The transcript is spliced from 2 exons.
UUUAUUUAGUUUGAAGUAUUUUUAACUUUCUCUUAAGAUUUCUUCUUUCACUCAUGUAUUACUUAGAAGUGUAAUGUUUAUUCUCCACAUAGUGUGGUAGUAUUUUGGAAUUAUGGUUAUCUACUUGACUUCUGUGAUAUCUCCCCACCCAAACAAAGUAAUGGCUUAAUGUUUAAGUUUGAAAAGAGAAAAGAUAAGUAAUAAAAAUAUCUUUUUAUAGGUCAUUUCUGAGGAAUCCACCAUCUAAAGACUUGAGAGUAAAAUAUAGUUGGAGAAAAUAUGGCUGCCCAUUGAGACUUAAUUUCAA